Molecule: ribosomal RNA, 258 nt
Filed under: uncultured Glomus
Lineage: Eukaryota; Fungi; Glomeromycota; Glomeromycetes; Glomerales; Glomeraceae
Description: partial 18S ribosomal RNA
Rfam family: Eukaryotic small subunit ribosomal RNA
Source: RNAcentral
AAGCUCGUAGUUGAAUUUCGGGGUUAGCAGGUUGGUCGUGCCACUGGUAUGUACUGGCCUUGCUGAUUCCUCCCUCUUGAUGAGCCGUAAUGCCAUUAAUUUGGUGUUGCGAGGAAUCAGGACUGUUACUUUGAAAAAAUUAGAGUGUUUAAAGCAGGCAAGCGCUUGAAUACAUUAGCAUGGAAUAAUGAAAUAGGACGUUUGAUCUUAUUUUGUUGGUUUCUAAGAUUGACGUAAUGAUUAAUAGGGAUAGUUGGG